GAGGGUAUAGCUUAGGUGGUAGAGCGCAUGCUUAGCACCUAGGGGGUCCUGGGUUUAAUCCCCAAGUACCUUCA
RNAcentral lists this transfer RNA (74 nucleotides) under Camelus bactrianus (Bactrian camel). It matches the Rfam family "tRNA". Rfam says of the family: Transfer RNA (tRNA) molecules are approximately 80 nucleotides in length. Their secondary structure includes four short double-helical elements and three loops (D, anti-codon, and T loops). Further hydrogen bonds mediate the characteristic L-shaped molecular structure. tRNAs have two regions of fundamental functional importance: the anti-codon, which is responsible for specific mRNA codon recognition, and the 3' end, to which the tRNAs corresponding amino acid is attached (by aminoacyl-tRNA synthetases). tRNAs cope with the degeneracy of the genetic code in two manners: having more than one tRNA (with a specific anti-codon) for a particular amino acid; and 'wobble' base-pairing, i.e. permitting non-standard base-pairing at the 3rd anti-codon position. Lineage: Eukaryota; Metazoa; Chordata; Mammalia; Artiodactyla; Camelidae. The record is from Rfam by way of RNAcentral. RNAcentral also lists the same sequence under 1 other name.